AUACGGAGGGUGCAAGCGUUAUUCGGAAUCACUGGGCGUAAAGGACGCGUAGGCGGGUUGGCAAGUCAGAUGUGAAAUCCUACAGCUUAACUGUAGAACUGCAUUUGAAACUGCUAACCUAGAGUAUGGGAGGGGGAGAUGGAAUUAGUGGUGUAGGGGUAAAAUCCGUAGAUAUCACUAGGAAUACCGAAAGCGAAGGCGAUCUCUUGGAACAUAACUGACGCUAAGGCGUGAAAGCGUGGGGAGCAAACAGGAUUAGAAACCCCAGUAGUCC
RNAcentral lists this ribosomal RNA (274 nucleotides) under uncultured bacterium. RNAcentral's name for it is "partial 16S ribosomal RNA". It matches the Rfam family "Bacterial small subunit ribosomal RNA", at positions 523 to 796 of the family's 1533-position model. The record is from RNAcentral.